RNAcentral lists this ribosomal RNA (253 nucleotides) under uncultured bacterium. RNAcentral's name for it is "partial 16S ribosomal RNA". It matches the Rfam family "Bacterial small subunit ribosomal RNA", at positions 524 to 776 of the family's 1533-position model. The record is from RNAcentral.
UACAGAGGUCUCGAGCGUUGUUCGGAUUCAUUGGGCGUAAAGGGUGCGUAGGCGGCGGGGCAAGUCUGAUGUGAAAUCCCGGGGCUCAACCCCGGAACUGCAUUGGAUACUGCCUUGCUAGAGUACUGGAGAGGAGACUGGAAUUUACGGUGUAGCAGUGAAAUGCGUAGAUAUCGUAAGGAAGACCAGUGGCGAAGGCGAGUCUCUGGACAGCAACUGACGCUGAGGCACGAAGGCCAGGGGAGCAAACGGG